AUAUUUUGAACCGCAUGGUUCAAAAGUGAAAGACGGUCUUGCUGUCACUUAUAGAUGGAUCCGCGCUGCAUUAGCUAGUUGGUAAGGUAACGGCUUACCAAGGCAACGAUGCAUAGCCGACCUGAGAGGGUGAUCGGCCACACUGGAACUGAGACACGGUCCAGACUCCUACGGGAGGCAGCAGUAGGGAAUCUUCCGCAAUGGGCGAAAGCCUGACGGAGCAACGCCGCGUGAGUGAUGAAGGUCUUCGGAUCGUAAAACUCUGUUAUUAGGGAAGAACAUAUGUGUAAGUAACUGUGCACAUCUUGACGGUACCUAAUCAGAAAGCCACGGCUAACUACGUGCCAGCAGCCGCGGUAAUACGUAGGUGGCAAGCGUUAUCCGGAAUUAUUGGGCGUAAAGCGCGCGUAGGCGGUUUUUUAAGUCUGAUGUGAAAGCCCACGGCUCAACCGUGGAGGGUCAUUGGAAACUGGAAAACUUGAGUGCAGAAGAGGAAAGUGGAAUUCCAUGUGUAGCGGUGAAAUGCGCAGAGAUAUGGAGGAACACCAGUGGCGAAGGCGACUUUCUGGUCUGUAACUGACGCUGAUGUGCGAAAGCGUGGGGAUCAAACAGGAUUAGAUACCCUGGUAGUCCACGCCGUAAACGAUGAGUGCUAAGUGUUAGGGGGUUUCCGCCCCUUAGUGCUGCAGCUAACGCAUUAAGCACUCCGCCUGGGGAGUACGACCGCAAGGUUGAAACUCAAAGGAAUUGACGGGGACCCGCACAAGCGGUGGAGCAUGUGGUUUAAUUCGAAGCAACGCGAAGAACCUUACCAAAUCUUGACAUCCUUUGACAACUCUAGAGAUAGAGCCUUCCCCUUCGGGGGACAAAGUGACAGGUGGUGCAUGGUUGUCGUCAGCUCGUGUCGUGAGAUGUUGGGUUAAGUCCCGCAACGAGCGCAACCCUUAAGCUUAGUUGCCAUCAUUAAGUUGGGCACUCUAAGUUGACUGCCGGUGACAAACCGGAGGAAGGUGGGGAUGACGUCAAAUCAUCAUGCCCCUUAUGAUUUGGGCUACACACGUGCUACAAUGGACAAUACAAAGGGCAGCGAAACCGCGAGGUCAAGCAAAUCCCAUAAAGUUGUUCUCAGUUCGGAUUGUAGUCUGCAACUCGACUACAUGAAGCUGGAAUCGCUAGUAAUCGUAGAUCAGCAUGCUACGGUGAAUACGUUCCCGGGUCUUGUACACACCGCCCGUCACACCACGAGAGUUUGUAACACCCGAAGCCGGUGGAGUAACCUUUUAGGAGCUAGCCGUCGAAGGUGGGACAAAUGAUUGGGGUGAAGUCGUAACAAGGUAGCCGUAUCGGAAGGUGCGGCUG
Molecule: ribosomal RNA, 1359 nt
Filed under: Staphylococcus aureus
Lineage: Bacteria; Bacillati; Bacillota; Bacilli; Caryophanales; Staphylococcaceae
Also listed under: 1 other name
Description: bacterial SSU rRNA
Rfam family: Bacterial small subunit ribosomal RNA
Source: RNAcentral